UGGGAGUAAAGUCGUAACAAGGUUUCCGUAGGUGAACCGUGGUGACUGCGAAGGAUCAUUAGACAUAUCAGGGAGGCCCUUUCAGGUUCCCCGAGCAAACAACCCCAUGUGUACACUUCCAUGUUGCUUCCCCAGGCCAGCGGCCACUGCUGCCAGCCCGACCCCUCCGGCGGUCGACCACGGGCUGAGGUGCCUGGGGGAGGGCCCAUCCCCAACACGUCGCUCAUCAAAGCAGUCUGAGCAGGCAGUCGGCCUGAAUCAAGUAACAUGUUAAAACUUUCAACAACGGAUCUCUUGGCUCUCGCAUCGAUGAAGAACGCAGCGAAAUGCGAUAAGUAAUGUGAAUUGCAGAAUUCAGUGAAUCAUCGAAUCUUUGAACGCACAUUGCGCCCUCUGGCAUUCCUCAGGGCAUGCCUGUUCGAGCGUCAAUACAAACCCCCCUCACCCUCCUGGUGGUGCUGGCGGAGGUGGGUCGCCCUCCCGGCGACAGGCCCACCCCGUCGAAACUCAUGGGCCCGAGAGCCGACGGCUGCGACUGACAUUCCAAGCGCUUUGAAAGCCAGAACCAGUCCGCGCCGAAGUCUCGCGGUGCCCCCACUGGGCCUCCCGUCCAGCGCAACACUCUGGGUUGACCCUCGGAUCAAGGUAGGGAUACCCGGCUGAACUUAAGCAUAUCAUAAAAGCCGGGAAGAGAAAA
Molecule: ribosomal RNA, 697 nt
Filed under: Tuber macrosporum
Lineage: Eukaryota; Fungi; Ascomycota; Pezizomycetes; Pezizales; Tuberaceae
Description: eukaryotic LSU rRNA
Rfam family: 5.8S ribosomal RNA (bases 275-428)
Source: RNAcentral